UCUCAACUGUUCCCCUGGUAACAGUGCGCACCUGCUGCUGCUGUUUCACGUCUGGAGACUCAACAUGAUGGACGGAGAUGUAAUGCAACAUUUUCGCUGUUGUUGUUGGUUCGUGUUACUUGUCGUGUCCCGAUGCUCUUGGACAUUUUCAAUCGGGACUAUUAAUAAUUGACGCACGUGAAUAUUGACAGAGAAAAAAGAAGCAGAGCCUUGCUGAGGAGACUGAGGAGCCUACCGUUAAAGAACCAGAGCCAAAGGUGCAAGCAGAGCCACAGCAGACCUCCCCCUCUCCACCUCCAAGUCCUGAACCAGUUAAGAUCUGUGAGCCUGAGCCGGAGUCGGAGCCAGAAUCAGAACCAGAAUCAGAACCAGAAUCAGAACCAGAAGCAGAACCAAAGACAAAGACACAGGAAGCCAACUCAGAAGCUGAGCCUGUAACCCAGCAGCCGCAGAAAGCAAAGGAAGACGAUCAAAACACCAACGCUGACAAAGAGGAAGCUACUGAGGACGGCUGUGAUGCUCCAGUCAGCUGUGAUGCAUUUAAGAGCUGCCUGAUGCGCAUUCCUCACACCUCCGAGUGCCUCGGCAACAUCAACGCGUUCUUCAAAGAGAACGGCAUCUCCACUCCCAAAAUACCCUCCAUGCCUAAGCUACCCACCCAGCUCUCUGACGUUACCAAGUACUUACCCUCCCUUCCCCCUGAAUUGCGCCAAGAGCUCUCCCAGAUCCGACUCACGCAGGUCCCCCGAAAUAUUGCCCAGACUCUAACUGAGCUUUUGCCUAAAAGCUCCGAGGGUUCAUUCAGCCCCAAUCUGUCCGGUCUUUCUGAGAGCUUUUCAAGCAUCCCGGAGAAACUCUCCCAGAUUCCCAGCCGAACGCAGCAGUACUUCCUCAACGUCCAGAACCGCCU
Molecule: long non-coding RNA, 910 nt
Filed under: Cottoperca gobio
Lineage: Eukaryota; Metazoa; Chordata; Actinopteri; Perciformes; Bovichtidae
Description: lncRNA (ENSCGOG00000008618.1)
Source: RNAcentral